RNAcentral lists this long non-coding RNA (2506 nucleotides) under Hordeum vulgare. RNAcentral's name for it is "long non-coding RNA (HVUL_LNC008094)". Lineage: Eukaryota; Viridiplantae; Streptophyta; Magnoliopsida; Poales; Poaceae. The record is from RNAcentral.
CGAUCUGCUAAAAAGUCAAACGACAUAAAUCCCCUUCGUCCCAACUCCUCUAUGCUUCACUUGGACUACGCGGCGAAUACACCCACCCCACGUCUGCAAUAGCUCGAUCGUCGCCAUUUCACGCGUCAUCACUCGCCGGUCCGUCUGUAUGCAGCAAGCCGUUGCAGCAAAAAAAAUCCCGUGGACACGGGAAGAGCAGCUUGUGCCAUUGGUUGGUUGCAAACCACUGCAGCACCCAUCUUCGUUUGUCACAUGAGCUUCGUCGGCUCACCGCUCCCGACCAUUGCCGCACAUUUUAAGUUUUUUUUUGAUGGUUACCGUAGCAACACAGCUAAAGCUUUAGUAGCUAUGGUUGAAGCUUUUUCUUUCAAUGGUUACAACACUUUUUCGUUUGUUCAAUGGCCGGUGGAAGCUUUCUCGAUCUUCGAUUGACGUCUAUUUCUUCUAGGGUUGUAAUUAUUUUGUCAAAUUAUUGCAACUUAUUUUGUUGCGCAAUGUUUGAUUGUAUCUUUUUCAUCAACCGUUGAAGCUUUUUAAUGCAAUUAAGCUUUUAUAGUCAACGAUUGCAUCCCUAUGCCCCGGUUCCAGCACACGGCUGUCCUGGUUUGCUGCAUCAUCAUGGUUGUUUCCGUGCAUCCCGAAAAUCACAGCGCCAUCCACAACUUCGUCCCCCGCCCCUGGUUUGAAGCAAAACAGAAGAAGAGGAAAAGGGGGAGGAAAAAGGGAGGUGGCGGCAGCACACGGCGAAGCCCAACCUGUUGUGAUGGUCGAGGAUUCGAUAAGGGAGAUGGAUUGGGCGAAGGGGGUGCGACAAAGAUGAAGUGGUCGAGAGGGAAGGGAUAAGAUGGGGGAACACGAUGCUAGCCGCAGGAUCUCGCCCGAUCGAACGCGGCAUGCGCGACCGGCAUAAGACUGGCCCGACGAGCCAGAUGCAAUGAAUUAGUGUAAUGUGCGGUAGGUUGUCCUAGGGAUGACUGUGGUUUACCAUUUCCAAAAUAUAAAACGUAAAAUGGAAGUUACAAGUCACGCGCGGUAGGUUGUCCUCCGGAAGAUGAGAUCUAGAAUGUCAAAAAAAUAAAUAGAGGACGAAAUCUAGGGGAAGAGAUCGCGUGUUCCAUUCUGGUUGUGCACACAUUUGUUUUGCAGUUAAAAGAAGAAAGAAGAAAAAGGCAAAUGUGUCGACCUGGGGGAGGGGGGUGCACCCAUUUGCAAAUUGUAUAGUAGCAGGCCCUAUCUUUUGGUCAUGCUGUUAUCGGAGGUAUGUUUCCUAUUUAGUGUUUCAGGCCAUUUGACAAACCGGAGCGCACCCAUCCGUGCGUUCGGCCGGCCCAUUCCAUUUUUUUUCUGAUUUUAAUAUGUAAAAAGAAGUGCGCGGCUAAGAAUCAAACACGCGAGCUCCACCUUAAGUUUAACUCACACUAAAUAACUAGACCAACAACACAUUGUGAUAAUAUGUUUUCUUUUAUUCUUUUAUACUUUCUCCAGCGUUUUUUUCUUCUAUUUUCAGUUUUUGUUUUUUCCUGAUUGGUUUUCUUUUUUGUUUUCCUUUUUCUGUUCAUUUUCUUUCAAAAUGCACUUUUGUUUCCAACUCGAUUGACUUUAUCUGAAAUCAAUUGUUUUUGCAAUCUAUAAAAAAUCAAUUAUUUUACAAUUGAUGAAUUAUUUUUGGAAAUCCAACAACCUUUUUCCAAAUCAACGAAGUUUGUAAAUAAUUGAUGAACUUUUUCAAAUUUGACGAACUUUUUUUCAAUCAAUGAGAUUUUUUUCCAAAUUCAUGAUUUUGUUUUUGCAAAAUCCAUGAUUUAUUUUUCGAAUUCACAAUUUUAGUCUGUUUUUUUGUUCUUUUUCAGAUGCAAUCAAGCGAACCAUGGGGAAAUAAAAUGCAAAAUCUAUAUGGGCCAGAGAGCUCUCCACGCGCCCCAUAGCGCUGGAUAGGAGCUCCUUGUGGGAGGUGGCACUUUGAUGGACAAGCCUCAAAAUCUGGUGGGCUGGCCUUGUUUAUUCAUGGGCCGCUCAGUGGGCCCAUUGACCCAUCUUAUGUGCCAGGCCACAAAUCAUUCGUCUCUCGCCCAGCAGCAGGAGCCUAGCCCGCCAUUCACUUGGCUCCUUCGUUUGGCUGAAAAAAUGAACUUGCCUCCUUCGUGAAUGAAAUGGGCAUCUCUUCUCCAGCACUGCUUCAUCUUGAUCUGCAACCGUCGACGAUCCCAAGUUUGAUCAGUUGUUGGAUCCGUCACUGUUCUUCCAACGGUAGAGUGUAUUUCUAGGGCAGACAGAUCAUGUCCAAUGGAGAAACCCUCCGACGAAGCAAGCAAUGGUGCUUUCUUCUCGUUUGAGACACGUGAGGUAGCAAUUCGAGAAAAGAUGUUAGUAUCCACUACACAGGAUGUGCUUCUUGAUGCCUCCCAAUCCCCAUGUGUUGCACACGAACUACUUCCAGGUAGCUGGCCUUGGUCUAGUCCUUCGCCAUAUCUUGGUAAGAACAACAAAUAUAAGUGUGAAGUCUAAG